CCUCUGUCUUAUUUCCUACUAGGAGAUACUGGAUGCCCUACAAAAAGCAGAGCCUAAAACAGAGGAUCUUAAGUCUCAACUGAAUGAACUUUGUCGAUUUUCCAGAGACCUAAGUACAUACAGUGGAAAAGUUUCUGGCUUGAUUAAAGAAUAUAAUUGUCUUUGUUUGCAAGCAUCCAAGGGCUGUCAGAAUAGAGAACAGAUUUUACAACAACGAUUUCAAAGAGCCUUCAAGGAUUUCCAGCAGUGGUUGGUUAAUGCAAAAAUCACUACUGCGAAAUGUUUCGAUAUACCUCAAAAUAUUAAUGAAGUUUCAACAAGUCUUCAGAAAAUACAAGAAUUUUUGUCAGAAAGUGAAAAUGGACAGCACAAGCUUAACAUGAUGUUGUCUAAAGGAGAACUUUUGAGUACUCUGUUGACCAAAGAGAAAGCUGAUGGCAUCCAGGCCAAAGUUGCAACUGCAAAAGAAGAUUGGAAAAAUUUUCAUUCAAAUCUCCACCAGAAGGAAUCUGCCCUAGAGGUAUAACAUAGCCAGGCACAUGGACACGUUCUCUGUAGUUUGUUGUUGUAGUCAUUGUUGUCAGUCAAAACCACACUUUCAAUAUAUCUAAAUACAGUUGCCAAUGAUUUUGGUCAUUCCUCUCUGAAUAUUAAUGGAUAACUGGGCAACUCUAAGAAACAGCUCGAUUUUUGAAGUAGGAACCUCGCUGAGGAAUUUGAGAGCUUGCCUGGUAGGGACCGUCAUAGGCUUGCACUGUCCCACCAGAAAUAGUUGGUUUUUGCUUUUAAACAAUAUCACUUAAUCAUUCAUUUGAAAUCCCUCAAGUUUGGAAGUCAUUCUAGGAGAAUGAACAGGAAUAUCCAUGUAAGACUAUAAAAUGCUAUGGAUGAUAAAAUAUAAUUAAUGCAGAUAUAAAGCAGUAGGUUGUAUGCAAAGAGCCAAUGAUUAUGCAAAUUUCUUUUAUCCAGAGACAACAUAAGUUGAAUUUAUUAUAAUCAUAACUACUGCCAUGAUGCAAUUGUUUUUGUUUUGUUUUUUCUUGUGAGAUCACCUGUAUUUUGUAUCCACUCUUAGAGGAAAAUUUGUAGGCAUGGAGAAUAAUUUUUUCCCUUUCAACCAACACUUCAUGGCAGAAUAGAUCCUUUAUUUGAUUAUGAUCAUAAUUAAUACAGAUGGAAAAGAAUAAUAAUAGAGAAUUAAUAUCUGGAAAGAGAAAAUGUGUGUUCCCUCGAUUGUUCCCUAGCCCAAGACUAUUGUAAUUUUUCUCUGUAAUGGUGGCUAUUCUUUCAUGGCAGGCAUCUUCCAUUUAAUAGCGGUAACCAUUGUGCAGUGCCUAGAAAUUGAAUCAUAACCUUACAGAGAUCAUUAGGGUAAUGUGGCUUGAGCUCUGAAGCAUUUAUUGUUGAAGGUAGUACAUCUAACAUUGAUUGCAUGAUUACGUAGUCCAAGAGAUGUCCAGGAAUAAAUGGGUAGGUGGAGAAUAACCUGACUUUUUGCCUUCCUUAUUAUCUUCCUUCCCUUUUUUCUCUGCCCUGUCCUACCUUCCCUUCUUCCUUCAUUUCUAUUAGGAAUGAAAUAGAAAACAAUAUGUGCCAGCUACUAUGUUAGGAAUGCAAAAGGGUUAUUCUCUUGCCUUUCCUCAGGGAGUUUACUUUCCAGAGAGGGAAAUAGUCUAUAAAGAGAUGAUUGCAAUAUAAUAUAGAUACAUUCAGGUUGUGGUAGUCACUCAGAACAAUCCAAGUAACUCCACUUGGAGAAAUCGAGGAAAGUUACCAGAAAGGUGACAUUUUAAUUGAACCUUGAAGCUAAACUUUCUUUGAAUUUGCCAAGGCUGACCUGCAUUUCAGGCAGAAGGAACUGGAUGUGCAGGACCAGAGUGUUGUGAGUGUCAACAAUGGGGAACUUUGAGAAGUUUGAUAUCCAUGUGGGGUUUUGUGGGAGGAACAACAAAGAUAAGAUUGGAAAUGAAGAUUAGGGCAAAAUAGGAAAUGUCUUAUGUACUAAGCAAUUUGAUCAUGACUCUUAUCAGGGUUUUUGUUUUUUUUUUU
This is a long non-coding RNA of Ailuropoda melanoleuca (giant panda), 2049 nucleotides long. RefSeq lists it as uncharacterized. The record is from RefSeq and is a predicted model, not a curated record. NCBI's taxonomy places the organism in Eukaryota, Metazoa, Chordata, Mammalia, Carnivora, Ursidae. The transcript has 3 exons.